This is a long non-coding RNA of Tribolium madens (black flour beetle), 470 nucleotides long. RefSeq lists it as uncharacterized. The record is from RefSeq and is a predicted model, not a curated record. Lineage: Eukaryota; Metazoa; Arthropoda; Insecta; Coleoptera; Tenebrionidae. The transcript is spliced from 3 exons.
CGUAUCGACAUGUUUAAUUUAAUCAGUCUUACGCUUUGAUUUAUACAAGUCGCUUGUAACCGAGUUUGUAACGAUGGUCGGUCAGGUUUACUUGAAAAAUUCCGAUUGAAAAUCGAAUCUACCAAGCACAAUCCUCUUUAGCAAUACACAGCUGCAACACUAUACAAACGUUAAUUGUAACUCGUUCACGGCACGAUGACUUCGCAUCAGGUUCGGUUAGAAAGAGAUUAUUAGCUAUUUCAAUGUGAAAUUAGUGCCGGUCCAAACAAUGUGAAUGAUCUACAGCAGAUACCACAGACACGUUUAAAGAGGGCUAUUGUUUGACGACCAACUGGUAGAUCCAAUACCAACCACCCGCAGAGGAUAUCAUUAGACUUAUCGCCGACUAUGCCUACCAACCAACUAAAAGAAUUAACUCUAUAGAAACCGUACCAUUGUAACCUCUCGGCGGUAGUUCAUUAUGGGCGACU